AAAUAUAAUGUGCAAAUGAUUUUAAUAUGAAUUUUAAUUUUAAAUAUAAGUUUAAUUAAUUAAAAUUAUAAUAAUUAUAAAGAAAUUAAUUUUAGUAUUUAUUAAAGAAAAAAUAAAAUUAUUUAUAGAUUUAGUAUAGUAAUAGAAAAAUGAAAUAAGUAUUUAAAUAUUUAAAAGUAAAUUUAAUUUAUUGUAUCUUGUGUAUCAGAGAUUAUUAAUUAUUAAUUAUAAAAUUUAAUUAUUUCGAAAUUUAAAGAGUUAAUUUAUUAAAUUAGUUAUUGUGAUAUAAAUAUUAAUAAUAAUAAAUUAGAAAUGAAAUGUUAAUCGAUUUAAAUGAUAUCUAAUUUUUAAAGAAAUAAAUUGAAUUUAGUUAUUAAUAAAAUUAUAAAUUAAUUAAUUAGUUUGUAGAAAUAUUAAUAAAAAUAUUAAAGGGGAUAAGCUUUUUAAUAAAAUUUUAAAUAUUAAUUAAAAUAAAAAAAAAUUUAUAGAGAUGAAAUUAUUUAAUAAAUAAAUUUUUUUAUAAAAAAUUUUUAUGGGAAUAUAUUUUAAAAUUUAAUUUAUUAAUAAAAUUUAUUUAAAAAUUUAUUAAAAUACAAAUAAUAAAGAUAUAAUGAUAAUAUUAGUAUAUAAUUAAUUUAUAUUAAUUUAUAUUUAAAUUAAGGAAAAAUUUAAUUUAAUAAUUCGGCAAAAAUAUAUUAUAUUCGCUUGUUUAACAAAAACAUGUCUUUUUGAUUUAUAAUUUAAAGUCUAAUCUGCCCCCUGAAAUUUAUUUUAAAGGGCUGCGGAAUAUUAACCGUACAAAGGUAGCAAAAUAAUUAGUCUCAUAAUUGGAGACUAGAAUGAACGAUUGGACGAAAUAUAUUCUGUUUUAAUUAAAAUAAAAUAAAAUUUAAUUUUUUAGUUAAAAAGCUAAAAUUUUUUUAAAAGACGAGAAGACCCCGUAGAUCUUAAUAAUUUAUUUAAUUUAUUUUAUUUUAGAAUUUUAAUUUUAUUAAAAAAAAUUAUUAUAUUGGGGUGAUAUAAAAAUUUAAAAAACUUUUUAAUUUAAUAAUUUUUAAUUAAAAUUUUAUGUAAAAUUGAUCUAUUAGUAAUAAUUAAAAGAAUAAGGUACCUUGGGGAUAACAGCGUAAUUUAUAUUUUAAGUUCAUAUUAAAAUUUAAGAUUGCGACCUCGAUGUUGGAUUAAAAUUUAUUUUAAAUGCAAAAGUUUAAAAAUUAAGUCUGUUCGACUUUUAAAAUUUUACAUGAUCUGAGUUCAGACCGGUGUAAGCCAGGUUGGUUUCUAUCUUUAAAUAAAUAAAAUUUUUUAGUACGAAAGGAUCAUUAAUUUAAAAAAUUUUUAAUAAUAAGAAUUUAAUUAAUUAAUAUUA
This 1369-nucleotide ribosomal RNA is filed under the name Phryganopsyche latipennis. Its description in RNAcentral is "16S ribosomal RNA". Lineage: Eukaryota; Metazoa; Arthropoda; Insecta; Trichoptera; Phryganopsychidae. The record is from RNAcentral.